AAGGGCACCACAAGAACGCGUGGAGCAUGUGGCUUAAUUUGACUCAACGCGGGGAAUCUUACCGGGUCCGGACACACUGAGGAUUGACAGGCGUUUACUUGUUUUGCGGGCUUUCGUGUCUUCGGACGUGGGAGCUUUUUGCAAUUCAAGUAUAGCAAAUAUGCUAGUCCUUUCAUGAUUGUGUGAUAGGUGGUGCAUGGCCGUUCUUAGUUCGUGGAGUGAUCUGUCUGCUUAAUUGCGUUUCACAUAUAUGAACGAAAGGGUCCCGCCUGUGUCUGUGGUACGCCACGGAUACGGCUUUUAUGUGGACUUCUAAACGUUCUGAAGGCAACGAACGUGACCGCAACCUCUAGUUGCUCGUCUUCAAGGGCUUUCUUCUUGUUGGUGUACUUGUAUGCCGGCAUGGAANGGGUCCAAUACGCACGAUGCUAACUAGAGGGACCGCUAGUAACUUUCAAACAGAGGAAGGUUGCGGCAAUAACAGGUCUGUGAUGCCCUUAGAUGUUCCGGGCUGCACACGUGCUACAAUGAUUGUUGCAAUAAGCAUCUCUCCCAUUGUAUGUCCUCUUCUUUAUCUCCGGAUAGGAAGAGAGACACCACAUUACCGGCCGCGUUUCGGUGUACUGGUUGCUUUCCCUUGGUGCUUGCAUUGGGGGUAAGGCGCUGGUCGCUGAUUUGCUGGCUUGUGUUUUGUGUCGACCUACUUCGAAAGUGUUUAGGCAAUCACUUAGAAGUAACAACCCAGUUUCCCGCCACUUUAUACGUCUCUUGCGCUGCUCCUCAUUAUUCACUCCUUCCGCCAUCGGGUGGUUGGUUUAAGAUUUGGGGUUUAUAUGUAGCCUUGAUGAUGUCGUGCUCCAUUAAUUCGUUGUGGGGACAGACCAUUGCUAAUUGUUGGUCUCGGUCUCAACUAGGAAUGCCUUGUACGGGUCUUGGUUCAACAAACCAC
Molecule: ribosomal RNA, 949 nt
Filed under: Monothalamids sp.
Lineage: Eukaryota; Foraminifera
Description: SSU rRNA
Rfam family: Eukaryotic small subunit ribosomal RNA
Source: RNAcentral